Molecule: ribosomal RNA, 284 nt
Filed under: Faecalibacterium prausnitzii
Lineage: Bacteria; Bacillati; Bacillota; Clostridia; Eubacteriales; Oscillospiraceae
Description: partial 16S ribosomal RNA
Rfam family: Bacterial small subunit ribosomal RNA
Source: RNAcentral
UAUGGUAAUUGUGUGCCAGCCUCCGCUUUACAACGUAGGUCACAAGCGUUGUCCGGAAUUACUGGGUGUAAAGGGAGCGCAGGCGGGAAGACAAGUUGGAAGUGAAAUCUAUGGGCUCAACCCAUAAACUGCUUUCAAAACUGUUUUUCUUGAGUAGUGCAGAGGUAGGCGGAAUUCCCGGUGUAGCGGUGGAAUGCGUAGAUAUCGGGAGGAACACCAGUGGCGAAGGCGGCCUACUGGGCACCAACUGACGCUGAGGCUCGAAAGUGUGGGUAGCAAACAGG